UUCGAUGCAACGCGAAGAACCUUACCUGGUCUUGACAUCCCGGAGACCCUUAGGAAACUAGGGGGUGGCUUCCAUCUGGAAGAAUCUGGAGACAGGUGCUGCAUGGCUGUCGUCAGCUCGUGUCGUGAGAUGUGGGUUAAGUCCCGCAACGAGCGCAACCCUUGCCUUUAGUUGCCAGCAGUUCGGCUGGGCACUCUAAAGGGACUGCCGGUGUUAAACCGGAGGAAGGUGGGGAUGACGUCAAGUCCUCAUGGCCUUUAUGACCAGGGCUACACACGUACUACAAUGGCCGAUACAAAGGGCAGCGACACUGCGAGGUGAAGCCAAUCCCGUAAAAUCGGUCUCAGUCCGGAUUGGAGUCUGCAACUCGACUCCAUGAAGUUGGAAUCGCUAGUAAUCGUGGAUCAGCAUGCCACGGUGAAUACGUUCCCGGGCCUU
Molecule: ribosomal RNA, 438 nt
Filed under: uncultured Desulfobulbus sp.
Lineage: Bacteria; Pseudomonadati; Thermodesulfobacteriota; Desulfobulbia; Desulfobulbales; Desulfobulbaceae
Description: bacterial SSU rRNA
Rfam family: Bacterial small subunit ribosomal RNA
Source: RNAcentral